AAAAGUUGUUAUAUUUAUUGAAAUCUAAGUUUUUCCUCUUUAAAACAUAAAGAGAUGUACAAAUAUGGUUUAUCCGGUGGAGGAAAGUCAAAUUUAAUUUACACUUAAGCUUAAGCUCGUGCGGAACAAUAAUCAAAUAAGUUCACCUGCUUAUAUGCGCGAACAACCUUCGUACUAUACAUACAUACUUAUUUAUGUUGAUUAUGUGUGUUGGCAUAAUGCGAAUGUGUGAAAACCGUUGUUAUCAGCAUUCGCCAGAUAUAUUUCAUUCUCUCAUUGUGGUGGCAUUGCGUGACUGAAUACUCAAACACAACUGUACAUGACAUCGACAUUUGUAGCAGGUGUUUUUAGAAGAAUUCAACAAUUACCAUUAUUUUGGAUUUAUGAGGCCAUCCGGUCUACGUUUUAUGAAAAAUAUUCACCGUAAUUUUAGACCAAUUGACAAACAAAUUGACUUAAUUUCGGAAGAAGAAGAAUUUGGGCUUCGAUUACAUCCAAAUUACUUUAGAUCAUUUGAGGAUACAACUCUGUGUGGCUUGUCUCACGACUAAUAGUCGUAACCGCGACGAGCUACUGCUCGCGCCGAGAUAAUCCAGAAAUGUGACCACAUGCGAUGUGCAUUGGCCUAGAGUGUAUUUGCGUUGCUGUGUAGAUGGUGGAAGUGUUGUGGUUACUGCAGUCAUAGAUUGGUUAGCAAAACCAAUUUCGACAUCGAUCCAUAUUACCACCAUCGGCAACAUCAAAGGUGCCCAUCAACCGGCGUGUAGGCAAAGCGAGCAAAUUGUUAACAGUAAACGAUAUAGCGAAUUCGAAUUCGCGUGAUAUUCUAAUGCCACAUAGCGAUUCAUGCGAAUAUUGGUAUGUAUUUUCACAACUUCGUAACAAUAAAAGGUAAUUGAAAAUACUCAAAACGGAAAACAAAAAUCCCAAUGGCCGGCUAGUCAAAAUCAUUUUCGGGAAUAUUUCCUUUAUUUUUUGUAAGUUUUACAAUAUCUGUAUGAGCUUUAGUAUUUGAUGCUGAAAGCGAUUAAACCGCUUCAUGCGCACAUGUAUAUGCUAGUUUUGGUUUAUUUAAUUUAAUUUUCGUUUAUUUUAAUUGAAAUUUGACAAUAUUUUGUUUUUUUGUAAUUUUUUUUUAUUUUAUUGUAUUGAAACAAAGAAAUAUGUAUGCAUAAAUCGUUUCCUGUUCCUCGAAUACCAAAUCGGCAAUGAAAGAAAUGUUGUGUUUGAUAAUUAUAAAAUAAACUUAGUGUAACAUUUUGUUGAAUAAAUUAUUUGACAACAGCGUCUUAUUUUCGAUAACAAAAAUAAUUUUUAAGCACAAUUAUCGUUACAUAAAAAGACUAGACGAUCAUCUGAAACUCUAGUAUCAUAUGCGACAGCAUAUGUUGAUACAGUUUUCAAAAAGAGAGAGGAGUUAUAUGGUCGGAAUACGGAGUGAAUCAUGAACCUGCACCAAAAAGUUAGAAGUUGAAUCAAAUAAAUCCGACCAUUUGAAAAAACAGUAUUUAUGAGCUAAAUGCUUGUAUCUAUUUGUAUUCUAUUUUAAUUGCAUUUCUACUCUUUUAUUUUAUUUCAUUCAGAAUUUGUAAUUGUUUUAAUACCACUACCUUAAUUUACUGCAAUAACUUCUAACUACAUAUGAGUGACACACGGUUUUGAACUAUGGGAAUUGAACUUAAUUAAAAUGUUUUUACUACAUCCAUACAUUUAUUGGAAAAUAUGCACAUUUGUAAAAUUUAAUUAAAUUGAGCGCAUGUGUUGAGGGCGCAGCCAGCUGCAGAAAGGUUUUUACGCACACCUAAAUUGUCAAUUAAAGUAAAUUCUGCGAUUUAUUGCAAAUUAAAUGUAUAAAUACACGAAUAAGGUGAAAAUUGUAGGGAUGGAGUUUUGUGAAUAGGGAAGCAAAAUGCCAUAUUGGCUAAACUUUCUUUUUUUUGCCGCUGAAAUUUAAUUACCCUACGUGUGUGAGAAAUUUUUGUUUUUUACUAAGCAAUACUUGUACCAUAAAUUGUUCUAUAAUUAAAGUGUCAAACUCAAAAAGUUCGCGAUUUUGUAGAAUUAGUUUAUUCGUUUGUUUGCAAUCGUACGUAAAAGUACAGUCGUGCUAAAAACUUAACUUGUCUUCAUUUGGACAGGAGUACUUCUUUGGUUUGUUAGCAAAAAUUAUGGCAAAAUCUUGGUGUGAAUAAUUAAAGUGAAAUUUCUUGUGAUUUGGGUGAACAAACUCAGAUAAAUUAUAUUUCCUGCCCCUCUGAAUAUCCAAGUUUACGUACGAUGAGUUUAGCAAUUCCAUAUGUUCUUUCAAAAACUACGAUAUACAUAUGUAUAUCAAAAAUUAAGCAAUUGUGCUAAUUUUUUUUUAUUUUAACCAAUAAAGGAGUAUAUUCAAUGAUAGAAGUGUUGCUAUAUUGAGAAAAGUGAGGAACAAAUUUGCACAUAUUUCAACUAUUAGCCAAUUUGAAAUUAGUAUGUUCAACUGAUCAAUGAACAAGAAGAAACUAAGUUAAAUAAAGUUUAAGCAGGUCAAGUACUCGUUACUGCAGCAAACAUUAGCUACAGUGAGAAAAACGAUAAGAUAAGUGUUGUAGCU
Molecule: long non-coding RNA, 2593 nt
Organism: Zeugodacus cucurbitae (melon fly)
Lineage: Eukaryota; Metazoa; Arthropoda; Insecta; Diptera; Tephritidae
Exons: 3
Source: RefSeq, a predicted model, not a curated record